This 20-nucleotide small nuclear RNA is filed under the name Arabidopsis thaliana (thale cress). Its description in RNAcentral is "snRNA_19094". Lineage: Eukaryota; Viridiplantae; Streptophyta; Magnoliopsida; Brassicales; Brassicaceae. The record is from RNAcentral.
CUGCAGGCGAGUUGAGUCCA